AUAUUCGAUACAUGCAGACAACCCACAUUUAUCAAGUUAAAAAAUUCAGUGUUAGCGAUUGAACACCAUUGUAAACAAAAUGAAUGCGUAUGUGUUUAACACGGGAUAUUUGUUAAUAUUUUGGAUUCUCUAUCAAACAGUAACGACUCAGACCCCAAAUCUAGUGGCAGACAAUGUGAUGGUUGCUGAAAACAGUUCAGUGACUCUAACGUGUAUCCUUCCAAGAGCAGUCCCAACAGCUUGGCUAAGAAAUGGAUUUGGCAGUACUCUAUGGACAGGGGUUUGGAAGGCAAGUGUACGUCUGAUCCAUCGCCAUUACCUGAAGGAUUCGACUACGCAUGCGUCAAUGCUACUCUGACAACUCUGACUAUCUUGCGCGUAAACCGGUCGCUGGAUGGAGACAGGUGGCAGUGUAGCGUUAACACUAAUGCCGGGGUUUCGACAUUCAGCAACAAUAUCACCACCAAUGUUCACGGAACUUUCUACGACAUUUGCAUUGUCACAAUUUCUGUGCAAAAUAUUAUGCAUAAUGCACACCAGUUAACCUUUGCGCUUAUCUCAUCACACUUAGUCUGACAAUCAGUUUAUUAUAACUUCAAUGACAUUGUUUGGAAAGCAUGUGUUAACUGACUGAAGUGUCAACUUAUCGAGAAAGGUGUGAUGCACUGGCAAUAUCUUAAAGGUCAAUACUUAUACUGAUAACAAAUUAAAGGUAACAAUUAACAUACUUUAACGUUUCUUAUUUCUCAGUUAUUUUUAAAGACAAAGGGCAUAAGUGAUUAUAACGGUUACACGAUUACUUUUUUUCAUACAUCUACGCAUAAAUACAAGUUAUGUUAGGUUCUCUUUCAAGACAGUUACUGAAAUGAAAAACUACGAUGAAAUGCAGACACUUGAAAUUAAAUUAUUAAUGUGCUCAAAUCUGUUGAUGUUUCUUCGAGCAACAUAUCGCACACGUUUUCGCCAAACCUUGAUGCAAUUUUACAAGUGACAAAUGUACGUUACUGAUGUUAUUUUAUCAAGAAAAGAUAAUGCCAUCAUUGCGUUAAAAGUGAAUACAAUAUAUGGUUUGUGUAUAAUUAUUUAUGAAUACAUUCACCAUUUCUAUUUUACUUUAUAAAAGCUGGAAGAUGA
Molecule: long non-coding RNA, 1134 nt
Organism: Dreissena polymorpha
Lineage: Eukaryota; Metazoa; Mollusca; Bivalvia; Myida; Dreissenidae
Exons: 2
Source: RefSeq, a predicted model, not a curated record